Molecule: long non-coding RNA, 685 nt
Filed under: Diabrotica virgifera virgifera (western corn rootworm)
Lineage: Eukaryota; Metazoa; Arthropoda; Insecta; Coleoptera; Chrysomelidae
Description: uncharacterized LOC126886557
Source: RNAcentral
GCUUAAUUUCCCGACUCUGCACCCCCCACUACUGUUUAUAUGUGAAGAUGUGAACGUAUUUAACGAAUGGCGGGAAGUUUGAAAAUGGCCAUGACCAACCAGCCAGAGCAAUCUAACCUUACAUUUACAUUUAUAAAAGUGUUUUGUUAUUGUUUUUGUAUAAGUGAACUAUUUUAAUUUUAUCUUUACGUUUUAUAUUAAUAAAAUGUAUCCUUAGAAUUUGAGGAACAAUUUAGUGAUGAUGAAAGAAUAAUAUAUUUCUUAAAUAACGCUUGAACCUGUACCAUACGAGAACGAAAAAAGUUAUGAAAGAAUUUGAUGAUAACAAUUUUUUAUUAAGGUUUAUGGUUUCCAUAAAAAUACUGUGAGAUAAUUUAUACAAGAGCUGGUUCCUGGUUUCCAUUAUGUAAUUCUUCAGUAGGUAUGAUGAGCCUAAUAUCACAGAUCAAGUUUUAAUAACUUUAAAAACUUAUAUUAUGAGUUGUUUUUAUUUAUUGUAUGGUUUUGAUGGUAUACCUAUACAAAACAACUACUGAAAGAUUUAUAAAACCCAUGAAGUACUGGCAGAUAACGUAGUUGUUGAUAUUGAUAGAGAAUGUGUUAACACAGAAGAUAUUCCAUUUAUGAGUACUAAUCUAUAAACAUGCUAUAAAAUUUAACAUUUAUAAUAAAUAUUUAAACCUUU